CGGGAGGCAGCAGUAAGGAAUCUUCCACAAUGGGCGAAAGCCUGAUGGAGCAACUCCGCGUGCAGGAUGAAGGCCUUCAGGGUUGUAAACUCGUCUUUUAUGAGUGAAGAAUAUGACGGUAACUCAUGAAUAAGGGUCGGCUAACUACGUGCCAGCAGCCGCG
RNAcentral lists this ribosomal RNA (163 nucleotides) under uncultured bacterium. RNAcentral's name for it is "partial 16S ribosomal RNA". It matches the Rfam family "Bacterial small subunit ribosomal RNA", at positions 342 to 519 of the family's 1533-position model. The record is from RNAcentral.